Molecule: ribosomal RNA, 205 nt
Filed under: uncultured bacterium
Lineage: Bacteria
Description: partial 16S ribosomal RNA
Rfam family: Bacterial small subunit ribosomal RNA
Source: RNAcentral
GGAUUGUAGGCUGCAACUCGCCUACAUGAAGCGGAAUCGCUAGUAAUCGCGGAUCAGCAUGCCGCGGUGAAUACGUUCCCGGGCCUUGUACACACCGCCCGUCACACCAUGAGAGUUUGUAACACCCAAAGCCGGUGGGGUAACCUUUUGGAGCCAGCCAUCUAAGGUGGGACAGAUGAUUGGGGUGAAGUCGUAACAAGGUACC